AGCAGCCGCGGUAAUUCCAGCUCCAAUAGCGUAUAUUAAAGUUGUUGCAGUUAAAAAGCUCGUAGUUGAAUUUCGGGGUUAGUAGGUUGGUCAUGCCUCUGGUAUGUACUGAUCUCUCUGAUUCCUCCUUCCUGAUGAAUCGUAAUGCCAUUAAUUUGGUGUUGCGGGGAAUUUGGACUGUUACUUUGAAAAAAUUAGAGUGUUUAAAGCAAGCUAACGCUUGAAUACAUUAGCAUGGAAUAAUGAAAUAGGACGUUCGAUCCUAUUUUGUUGGUUUCUAGGAUUGACGUAAUGAUUAAUAGGGAUAGUUGGGGGCAUUAGUAUUCAAUUGUCAGAGGUGAAAUUCUUGGAUUUAUUGAAGACUAACUACUGCGAAAGCAUUUGCCAAGGAUGUUUUCAUUAAUCAAGAACGAAAGUUAGGGGAUCGAAGACGAUCAGAUACCGUCGUAGUCUUAACCAUAAACUAUGCCGACUAGGGAUCGGAUGAUGUUAAUUUUUUAAUGACUCAUUCGGCGCCUUACG
This 522-nucleotide ribosomal RNA is filed under the name uncultured Glomus. RNAcentral's name for it is "SSU rRNA". It matches the Rfam family "Eukaryotic small subunit ribosomal RNA", at positions 569 to 1092 of the family's 1831-position model. The record is from RNAcentral. Lineage: Eukaryota; Fungi; Glomeromycota; Glomeromycetes; Glomerales; Glomeraceae.